Molecule: long non-coding RNA, 1883 nt
Organism: Corapipo altera (White-ruffed manakin)
Lineage: Eukaryota; Metazoa; Chordata; Aves; Passeriformes; Pipridae
Exons: 4
Source: RefSeq, a predicted model, not a curated record
UAUCAGAAAGGUUUAUUUGCGAUUGUUUGAGAGGAGGGAGGGGGGGAAAAACCCCUGUGUAGCCACAGGCAGACAAGCUCAGUGCUCAGGAACAUAAUGGCUGGAGCCCGCGGGCCCAUAUGCUCGCCAUCCUGGGAGGUGGAAGGCCAGCUCUGAUCACAUCCAGCUGCUCAGGAUACAACUGAUCAGGUCCUCACUACCAUGUUUUUGGGCAAGAUACUUUUAGAAGAACAUCUCAACCAGAUCAUGCUCUCAAAGACCUGAGCCUUCACUGAUGGCAGGCAAUAAUUUUGCAUUUUGGAGUAUCUUCUUACUCUUAUGCAUGGCAACAUUUAACAGCACACCACCAUCUGCCACAGAAGCACAGACCACUAAUGGCAUCAUAAGAAUAAGUGUGUUCCUAUCUAUAUUUUAUUACUCAUGCCAUUUCAGGGUUUUGCAGAUAAUUAACUCUGAAUACUUAUUCAUCUAUUUUCCCUCAAAAAUGUUACCAUUCCACUUAAAACCCUUCUUUGUGGUCCAAGCAGCAGAACACUUAAUCAGACCGAGCAGGGCUGCAGAGCAGCUGUGAAGAGGCUGGAAACUCUGAAAACUCUAAACCCAAGCCAUGGGAAGGGGACUGCUCUCAUCCAGCCUCCCCUUGCUCCCCUCUCCUAUAGCUUGGGGGAGACAGUAGAGCUCCUGAUCCCCCAGGGACAGGGAUACAACCCCCUCAAACCAGAGUGUUUCUCCAACACUGUGUCAGCCCAGACACACUGACUCAAUCCAACACACCACUGAACCAAAAUAUUUUGAUUUGAUAAAACAAACGCAACAACUGUUUAGACUUUGUCUGACCAGACUCACAAUGGAGGUUUCCUUUUCAACUUCCCUAUUUAUUCUCAUCUCUACCAUCCCACAGUUAGGUGAGCAAAGCCAAAGCCAUUCCCUUCUCCUUUCUCCCCUGGAUCCCCAGGGAAUGGCCAGGUCUCCUGGACUGUCUCCCACUCCUGCAUGGAGCCAACCCAACAGGGCUGUGGAUGGCUUCAGGAAACCCUACACACAGCUAUAAUGAGAAGUUAUUAUUCCAGCAUUUUGCUUUCCACUUGUUAUACAGGCACUUCCCACAAACCCAGUAUGGGAGUGAAAGGCCUCACUUCGAUUGUGGGUUUACAGUGUCUUUCCCAACACAUCCUUGUCUCCCUGUUACAACAAAACCACCCUGCACCUCUCUCAGCCACACCCAACCUCCAGCUCCCCGUGCACAACCCCAGUGCUCGUGGUGGGAGGUCCAUUCUCACAUCAGACUAAAGCCAGGCAGAAUCAAUUAAAGCAAAAAGGACGGGGUCUGCUGAGAUGACAGAAGGCAUUUGGGGCAAAAUCACAGCUGAAUGCAGGAGAGAUGCCUUGCCCAGGCUCUCUUGUUCCUCCAUGGAAGCUGGGGCACAACAGCAUCUCUCCAGAUGAAUCCAGACUGCCAGUCCUACCUGAUAUUUUUUUGCAGGGGCUCACGGUGCUAAAUAACAAGGAAGAUCCAAGUCAGAGACAGAUAGAAGAGGAUAUGAAUGUAGGAGAUGAUCAGAGGAGGGACUUCUGGUGUUCUGAAAUACUUGCACAGCUUUGCCAAAUCAUGGCUUGUGCAGCCUCCCCUGGAGCCACUCCUGGAUGAAUUCACAUCCCAUUAUCUCCUGGAUUUGGGCUGGGGAGAGGAAGGUGUGUCUGCUCAUGGAUGUGGAGCUGCUCAGGAGCAAGUGCUGCUUCAGAGACUGUCAGACAAAUCCUCAAACUCUGAUUUUCCAACAUGUGUGAAACCUGUCACAUCAGCAUCUCUUGGAACUCUAAGCUGGAGACAAAAGCCAUGGAAAAGACUCUUCAGAAGGCAGUAAGCCAUCAGUUCACCUUUU